UUUCUUCAUUUAUAAAAUGGGGAUAAUAAUAGUAUCUAUGUCAUAAAGCAGCAAGAAUUAAAUGAGUUAAUAUAUGUAAACGUGCUUAGAAUGGGAUCUGACACACAACUACUUACAAAUCUUAGAUAUUACUAUUAUCAUCACCAUUCAUAUUCUGUAGGUAGCAUAAGGCUGAGGAAUCACCCCAACUUGGGGGUGAGCAUCACUGAAGAUCCUAAGUCUCAUGUAACCUGAGCCAACAAAGAGUUAUGUGCAGGUAAGGAUACUCUCAAGUGAUCUAGUGGGGGUGGCUCCCUUUGCUUCAUGUGGAUUGGUGAGUAAGGAAAGCCUAUGAUGAUGAUGACCAUGAUGAUGAUGAUGAUGAUGAUGAUGAUUGAAGCAUGAUGCUGAGAGGAAGGGUUCACCCUAACCCGAUGACUGCAGGAGAGAAAGAGCCAACAAAGGAAUGAGGAAGCUCUUCCUGCACCCUAGUGAACAGGCUGACUUUCUAAUUAUCUGUGGACUGUGAAUCUCUGCCUUUGUAGAUCUGGAGUCAAAGCUGCCACCUAAACAACCAGAAGGAAAGGCACCAUCUUACACAAAAAGCAAACCUCAGGCCAGGCGCGGUGGCUCAUGCCUGUAAUCCCAGCACUUUGGAAGGCCGAGUUUUCAGAGGCACAGACAGCAGAGGAGCUACAUUUGCAGAGAAGAUGAUGAAGGAAGACAGCAGCUCACUGGAGAGUGAUUCCUGUGAGGGCAAGUUUUCAGGGACCGAGCACAGCAGGGACAAGGAAGCUGCCAGAAGCCACUCCCACUGCAAACAGUUCCAAAAAUAAGGGAAACUCAGCAAGGGAAAGAGGGUGGAGGGAAUGGCAAAGAGGUGGGCACCGAGGGCAGCUCCCAAAAAGGACAUUAGGGCAGGGAUUAGUUGCAAGAGGAGGAGAUGGAAGAGAUGAAAGUGGAAAGAGCUGACUCUAGAUUGGGGCAAGAUCAAGGGGACAUCAAGGGUCCUACCCAGCAGCAACACUAAGUCUCUGAAAUUAGAAUUGCAGGAUCAUCCAGGGAGCAGAAUCCUUCUACCUUUAGCUGCCUGAAACUUCACCAAGAUGUACAUAUUUGGACUUCAGGAACAUAAUUACAACUAUAUCCCCUGCUUGGAUUGCCAGACCUCUCCCACGUAUAGAUGGGACUAUUAUCCCAGCUCUGCCACCCCUACGCAGUUGAAAAAAAUACCAAAACAGAUAUCAGCGAUAUGGAUGUGAUAUUGUGAUAUAAUAAGAAAUAUAUAUUUGGUUUUCCUCCUUCAGUUUUGGCACAGUGGGUUCCAGCACACAGCUCCUAAAACCCUUAGAAUUUCCUAAGUGAGCCAGGUGCAGUGGUACAUGCCUGUAGUCCCAGUUUCUCAGGAGGCUGAGGUGGGAGGAUUGCACCUGUGAAUAGCCACUGUACUGAAGACUGGGUAACAUAGUGAGACCUUAUCUCUAGAAACAAAUUUUUUAGUUAAAAAAAAUUAAAGAAUAUCCUGAGUGUUAGGAGGGGAGCAUCUUUAUUAUUUGUAAUAAGCCCCUUUCUUCUUCUUCUUUUUUUU
This 1567-nucleotide long non-coding RNA is filed under the name Homo sapiens (human). RNAcentral's name for it is "HSALNT0296202". Lineage: Eukaryota; Metazoa; Chordata; Mammalia; Primates; Hominidae. The record is from RNAcentral.